GAUGAACGCUGGCGGCGUGCCUAAUACAUGCCAGUCGAGCGAACAGACGAGGAGCUUGCUCCUCUGACGUUAGCGGCGGACGGGUGAGUAACACGUGGAUAACCUACCUAUAAGACUGGGAUAACUUCGGGAAACCGGAGCUAAUACCGGAUAAUAUAUUGAACCGCAUGGUUCAAUAGUGAAAGACGGUUUUGCUGUCACUUAUAGAUGGAUCCGCGCCGCAUUAGCUAGUUGGUAAGGUGACGGCUUACCAAGGCAACGAUGCGUAGCCGACCUGAGAGGGUGAUCGGCCACACUGGAACUGAGACACGGUCCAGACUCCUACGGGAGGCAGCAGUAGGGAAUCUUCCGCAAUGGGCGAAAGCCUGACGGAGCAACGCCGCGUGAGUGAUGAAGGUCUUCGGAUCGUAAAACUCUGUUAUUAGGGAAGAACAAAUGUGUAAGUAACUAUGCACGUCUUGACGGUACCUAAUCAGAAAGCCACGGCUAACUACGUG
This 497-nucleotide ribosomal RNA is filed under the name uncultured bacterium. RNAcentral describes it as "partial 16S ribosomal RNA". It matches the Rfam family "Bacterial small subunit ribosomal RNA", at positions 28 to 507 of the family's 1533-position model. The record is from RNAcentral.